RNAcentral lists this transfer RNA (69 nucleotides) under Planomonospora sp. ID67723. RNAcentral's name for it is "tRNA-Thr". The record is from RNAcentral. Lineage: Bacteria; Bacillati; Actinomycetota; Actinomycetes; Streptosporangiales; Streptosporangiaceae.
GCCCGCCGACCUGGGCACCGCCUCUCACUCGUAAUGAAGGGGUCUGGGGUUCGAUUCCCCAAGGCGGCU